Molecule: ribosomal RNA, 297 nt
Filed under: Amblyomma nodosum
Lineage: Eukaryota; Metazoa; Arthropoda; Arachnida; Ixodida; Ixodidae
Description: partial large subunit ribosomal RNA
Source: RNAcentral
GUCUGCUCAAUGAUUUUUUAAAUUGCUGUGGUAUUUUGACUAUACAAAGGUAUUGAAAUAAGACUUUAAUUGAGUGCUAAGAGAAUGGAAAUACAGAAAAAUUCUUUCUUGAAUUCAAAAAUUGAAGUUAUUUUUAUAUGUGAAGAAACAAUAAUGAAAAUUAUUGACAAGAAGACCCUAAGAAUUUUUUUAAUUUAAUUAAAAAAUUUUUUAAUUAAAUUCUUUAAUUGGGGCGAUUAAUAAAAAUUAAAAACUUUGUUUUUUAAAAAAGAACCAAUAAUAAUGUUAAAGCGGCUC